UAGUUCCAAUUAUGUUGUCCUUAGAGCUUCCUUGGUCAUUGUAUCUCUUCAAAACAAUGGAGACCAUAAGACAGCUGAUUUCACUGAGGGUGGGAUUCUGCUGGACUGUAAGAGGGAGUUGGGCUAGGAAGCACUGUGCUUGAGUGGGGCUAGGGAGAAAGGAAAUAGCUUCUAUUUCCUCUAGUGGGCUCAAAGCAAGCAAGAUACUCUCUCUCAAAUUUUCUUUCCCUUUUGCCAUGAGUUACCUCAUCAAUGCCUUACAAGAGAUUUGGCAGCCUGUGGUUACCUGGGGAGAUUGGUUAGUGACAAAGCAAAUGCAAAAUGACAAGAGAAGAGAAGGAAGGUUGCCAGGAGUGUUCUCUGGUUACUAAGGCAUUUCUCAUAGACAGCUAUAGACCCGGAGACAUUGUAGAUGCCUUUGGACCAAUCCUGUUCAAAGAAGGCCAAACCGAUGGCAUGUGGGGAUCUGUCAGGGAUUAUAAACCUCAAAGGGCUCAAAGGCCCAAGCUGCUGGUUCAGAAUCACGGUAUUUUAGAUAUGGGAUUUCAUGGAUACUCCAGGGCUCUGAGAAUUGGUGGCUUUCCCCUAUCCACAUCUUCAAGGUACCAGUGGAGGCACAUGACUAUUCAUCAAAGAAACAAAGGAGCAAGAGGAGCUGAGUGGGCCAGUCCUUAUGAAGACCAGGGUGAAUGUGGAUGGCAUGCUCAGCUGGGUCUUACUCAGCUGGGUCUUGUGUGACUCUUUCCAUUUCAGCUUUAAUUCCGGAGACUUCCAUGUAACAAAGAUGGCCACUGGUGCUGCCCAGUUAUUACUGUCCUCAGAGCUGGUCAUUCUAGAAACACACACACACACACACACACACACACACACACACACACACACAAAACCAAAAAGGUUUUUUUUUUAUCAGUGACCAAAUAGCUGACAAGAAGCAACUUGGAGAAGGAAGAAUUUUUUCUGCUCAUAGUCUGAAGGGACACAGUCAGCCACUGUGCAGAAGCCAUGGCCACAGAGAGACAAGAUGGCUGGACAUUGAUAUUCAGGAAGCCGAAAGUGUGUAGAAGGAGAGGCAGGCUACACCAGUUUGAAGCUCACCCUUAGCGAAUCACUUCCUCUGGCAAGGCUCUGUCUCCAAAAGAUUCUACAACCUCCCAAUAUAACACUCCAGCUAGGAACCAAAUGUUUGAAUACAGAAGCCCAGAGAGGACAUUUCACAUUCAAACCACAACAGGAGGGUCUAACAAUUUCAACCCAAGCAGCACAAAUGACAAGAUUGGUCUGGCUUGGGUCAUAUGCCUGUUACCUGAAACAGCAGUUCCAUCCAGGAGGAUCCUGAUUGGCACCAUCUCGGGGAUGGACUUGUGCCCUCUGCCCUUCUUCUAGAGUAGUAGAAUUUCUACUAUAGCGGCUUGUAGGUAGGUAGUGCCCCACACCCCAAACAUGCUCAGUUCUCUCCCAGAGUCUGUGGCUAUGUUAAGUUCCACGGCAAGCGGGAGUGAAGGUUGCAGAGUAAAUGAACGAUGCUUUUCAGCUAUCCUUAAAAUAAAGAGGUGAUUCCAAACCACGUAGAUGGUUCAGUUAAGCUAGGACAGGCAAGACAGGAGCUGCGUGUGAAUUUUAACCAAGCGAGAUGCAGCCUAAACUCUGGACCUCUGGACCUAUUAGGCUAAGUAGACGUGCAUUGUUUAAAGCUACUAAGUAGUAGAUAUUUGUUCAGCAGUAACAGGAGACGGACAUUAAAAUGUCACUUCUCAGGCUUUCUUGCACUCACACGUGGCUGUUGCUAGGUCCUCGGUGCAAGGGGAGCAGGCUCGUAGAAGCUCCUGGGAGUCUCUUCUGUUCUGCUGAUGGACAUGGAUGUCCCUCGGGCCACGGGAUGUGUGUGUGUGUGUGUGUGUGUGAAGGCACAUGCUACCAGAGGUAGAGGUGUGAACGGGGAGGAGCAGAGGCCCACGGCCAGCCUUGCAAUUUCUGACUCCACAUUUUGAGCAGGAUAUCAACGUCUUAUCUUCUUCAAGUCACUGUCAUUUGGCUAUGUGCCAACCUCACACCUGGAGCAAGCCCAAUGGUUACAGAAGGUAAGGGCAUUGGCAUUGAAGGUUGAAGAGUCCCUUCUACCCCCGAAGGAGGGAGCAUUUCUCUGAUGUUCAAUGAUGUUCCAGAAGAUUCUUGACUCCUCCCCUGCCCACAGUAGCUUUUCCUCUGGAUGACAUGGUCUUGGUGUUAUAACCUUACCUCUGUCUUGUCUCUUGUCCUUGUCACUGGUGUCUGUUUUUAGGCUACAGCUCUAUAGCCAUUCUGAACUGGCUUGACCCUGUGGCUCUCUGGACUCUGCAUGGUCUGGAGCAUUAGCCUUGGCUUAGUUCUGGCCAAAGGGAACUUCCUAUCCCAGGCAUUGACUGGCAUCCCAUGCACCUUACUCAGAGAGAGGGAGUCAGAACUCCUUCCUUUUGUUCUUUUUUGAGGGAAGGUCUUGAUAUGUGUCCCAGGCUGGCCUUGAGCCCUCCAUCUUCCUGCUGUCACCUCCUGAGCACUGAGAUUAAAGGAACAUGUCAUCAGGACUUAGUAGCAUGGGGGACCCUAUCAUCCAGGGUGACUUCAGGUGACUUCAUAGUUACGUUUACUGAGAACCCAACCUUACACCGCAAAUCCAAUGCUUCAUCUUUAGCUUCGUCUCACUGCCUGAAUGUGAGGAUAUGUGUACUGGUGUCACUUCUUGAAGUCGUGACAGCUGUAAGUCAUGAUCCACUCAGCUGCUAAUUGGAGCCAUCGUUUGACCAGGCAGUGACUGUGAUUCUGAGACGCAGGUGGUGAUGUUGCCUGCAUUACCAUGCUCAGCUAUUUUUAUCACCUGAAUAUCUCUUAACAUUCCAAAUGUUGAGACGAUUGUGACAAUGGUCCAGGGCUGCCAUGUGUGCUUGGGCAGGCUGUGUACAGCACAGGUGAGAACCAUCCACAUUGUCAUCCAUAUUCAUUAUAUUCUGAAGUUGUGCAGAGCAAUUAUACAUAGUCACUCAACCUCUGUGUAAACCAGUAACGAGGUCACAGAGAUGUGUCAGGAGCUCUGCCUGGAAGUCUCAGGUUGAAAGGAAGGUACUUGUUCUUCUCCAAAGUCACACACAGUAGGGCUUGGGUCCAUGGCUGGCUUGGAUGCUGAGUGGAGACCUUAGACCACCUGAAACACAUUUUCCCUUCUUUCUUCUCUCCCCCCUCUCUCCCUCCCUCUCUCUCUCCUUCCCUCUUUCUUUCUUUCUUCCUUCCUUCUCUUCUUCCUUCCUCUCUCUCUUUCUCUCCCUUUCUUUCUCUUCUCUCCUCUUCUCUUCUCUUCUCUUCUCUUCUCUUCUCUUCUCUUCUUUCUCUCUCAUUCUCUCUCUCGUUCUCUCUCUCUCUUUCUCUCUCUCUUUCUCUCUCUCUCUCUCUCUCUCUCUCUUUCUUUCUUUCUUUCUUUCUUUCUUUCUUUCUUUCUUUCUUUCUUUCUUUCUGAUAGAGUCUAACUAGCAAGCCAGGCUGGCCACAAACUUGUAGGUAGUCCUCCUGCCUCAGCCUCCUAAGUCCUGAGAUUACAGACAUGAGCCAUAGCAUUAGGCUUAUCUUUGUGGAAAAGAACUCUCUGGGAAUGAGAGCCAUGAGUGGUCCCUAGCUGAAAGACCGCCAAGGUGCUGGGCCUCCUUGACCUUGUUCAUGACAACAUAGAGCCGUAACCAUGAAACUGCCUUUGGAGUUUCCCAUCCACCCAGAAGGCCGGUAUUGCUCUUUUUUUCCCCUCAGUCCUCGAAAUGCCAGGCAUGGUACUAGGACUUCAAGAAUGUGUUUAAACGCUUACUUAAGAAUUUAAGAAGGGCCAGGCGUGGUGGUGCACGCCUUUAAUCCCAGCACUUGGGAGACAGAGACAGGUGAAUUUCUGAGUUUGAGGCCAGCCUGGUCUACAGAGUGAGUUCCAGGACAGCCAGGGCUACACAGAGAAAUCCUGUCUCAAAACAAAACAAAACAAAACAAAACAAAACAAAACAAACAAAAAAAGAAUUUAAGAAGGGACCACUGUAACAAACCUGCCGAUCUAAACAGUGGCUGCCCCUUUGAGCCAGUGUGGAAUGCUGCUGAUAGCUCUCUGUUCACAACACAGUGUCUGGUGGGAGGGGCGAUUAUGUUUCUGUAGAUGAUGGAGCUGGAAGGAUCCUUGAAAUAACCUGGUUCUUCAUCCUAAAAAAGAGGAACUAGAAACUCAAAGGUCACUAGAGGUCACAGAGCGAUUGACUGCGAACCAGGCCUCAAAUCCAAGGUUCUUCAUUUCUGGUUUCAUUUCCUUUCAUUUAUACAACAUUCUGACCUCACAUGUGAUCUUGGCUCCACCAUUUUCUGUGUGGCUUUUAAUCUGGUAUUUAACCUUUCUGUUCUUGGCUCAUCUGAAGUACAGGCCUUCUCAGCUACAGCCCUCAUGGAGUUAUAUUAAGGAACACAUGAGGGUUUUGUUUUUUUUGUUUUUUUGUUUUUUUUUGCCUGGAGAGUGCUUUUCUAAAUGUCAGGGACACGUAAUUAAUUGUCCAGUAAAUUCAAGUUUUAAUUAGUGUUUUGUGAUGCCAGGGGUUGAGCCUAGGGCCUUGUGCUUAUUAGGUAAGUCUUUGACCAGUAAGUUACAUUGCCAGCCCUAUAGUUUAAAAAAAACAUAUGUACCAAUUCGUCAAGAUCACUUUACAUUCUAGAAGCAUGGUCUUGCUAGUUGGGUUAGGGGAAGGAAAAGGGCGUCCUGGGUGUGAUGUUUGUGUUGGGAAUUUCUCUGCAUGCUAACCAGUGUUUGUUCAAUAUAGUGUUCUGUGGGACUCUCCGUUUUUCCUAACUCUGAGAAAAGUAAUCCGCCAGAUCUCUUCAGGCCAAGGUAACAGUGAUCGUUUACACCCUUCAUAAAUGCUAGGGUGAGGUCAGCACAGUGUUAUCCUUUCCAACGGCAGGUGGGGAACACUCAGGUAACAAUGGCUGGUGGGUGGGAGAGAGCUUGGAUCCUGGUCAAGUUCUUCUUGGAGAUGGAACAGGAAAUGAUUGUGUGUCUGGCCCCUCGCCAGGAGUCCCCUUGCCAGCGUCUCCCCAUCCCUCAUGUGGUCCACCCUCACAAUGGAGCACCUCCUAUCCAAGUGAGUGUGUGGGCUGUUGGUGGAGGGAAGGGGCAAGGGCCAAAUGCACCUGGGAUGUGAGCUGCAUCGUGGGUGCUGGACAGGCUGGUUGAACACCAUUGUCUUCUAGAUUCUGCUGGGGCUUGGGGAUCAAAAGCGGAAGCUUCCCACGGGGAGAUUAGCUAAGUGAAAACUGUAAUCCAACACAGCGAGUUCGCAUCUUGAUGAGUGCAGAGCCAAAGCAAGCAUGACCAAGACACAGGGGUGUGGAGAAAGAUUUAACACCUGCAAGAGGAGAGCUCUGCAAGGACCUACUGUCUACCUUCCUCUCUCUGCUCUGGAAAUUGUUGUGAGUCCAUGAAGAGUGCACACUGUGCACAGCACAGGUUAAGACAGAACAACGGUAAAAUGAGAUCCCUGUAAACCAGCUGCUGGAUGAAUCAUCACGGCAUGCGAAGUUCAAUACUGGAAGAGAUAAGCAACAAUGCAGGAAAACAACUCCAGUUCACAGGCAGUGCAUGGUUAACUGCCAAACGAGCACUGUCUGAAGAUGUCAAAAGCAUCAGGUUCAAAGAGAGAACAACCUCUGUGGGCUGGGCUGGGCUGGCUUCAGACUGUAUCAUCUUUUGAAAUAUAAAAGCCACAU
Mus musculus (house mouse) is the source of this 5751-nucleotide long non-coding RNA. RefSeq annotates it as predicted gene, 36193. The transcript is spliced from 3 exons. The record is from RefSeq and is a predicted model, not a curated record. Lineage: Eukaryota; Metazoa; Chordata; Mammalia; Rodentia; Muridae.